AGGGCGCACGGUGGAUGCCUUGGCACUAGGAGCCGAUGAAGGACGGGACUAACACCGAUAUGCUUCGGGGAGCUGUAAGUAAGCUUUGAUCCGGAGAUUUCCGAAUGGGGGAACCCAGCAUCUUUUAUAGGAUGUUACUUUUCAGUGAAUACAUAGCUGAUUAGAGGUAGACGCAGAGAACUGAAACAUCUAAGUACCUGCAGGAAGAGAAAGAAAAUUCGAUUCCCUGAGUAGCGGCGAGCGAAACGGGAAAAGCCCAAACCAAGAGGCUUGCCUCUUGGGGUUGUAGGACUCCGAUAUGGUAGUCCAGUGAGAUAGUCGAAGGACCUGGAAAGGUCUGCUAGAAAGGGUAAAAGCCCCGUAGACAAAAUUUGACUGGCACCUAGGAGGAUCCUGAGUACGGCGGAACACGAGGAAUUCCGUCGGAAUCCGGGAGGACCAUCUCCCAAGGCUAAAUACUCCCUAGUGACCGAUAGUGAACCAGUACCGUGAGGGAAAGGUGAAAAGCACCCCGGAAGGGGAGUGAAAUAGAUCCUGAAACCGUGUGCCUACAACAAGUUAGAGCCCGUUAAUGGGUGAUAGCGUGCCUUUUGUAGAAUGAACCGGCGAGUUACGAUUACUUGCGAGGUUAAGUUGAAAAGACGGAGCCGCAGCGAAAGCGAGUCUGAAUAGGGCGAAUGAGUAAGUGGUCGUAGACCCGAAACCAUGUGAUCUACCCAUGUCCAGGUUGAAGGUGCGGUAAAACGCACUGGAGGACCGAACCCACGUACGUUGAAAAGUGCGGGGAUGAGGUGUGGGUAGCGGAGAAAUUCCAAACGAACUUGGAGAUAGCUGGUUCUCUCCGAAAUAGCUUUAGGGCUAGCCUCAGAGUAAGAAUGAUGGAGGUAGAGCACUGUUUGGACUAGGGGCCCAUCUCGGGUUACCGAAUUCAGAUAAACUCCGAAUGCCAUCCAUUCAUCUCUGGGAGUCAGACUGUGAGUGAUAAGAUCCAUAGUCGAAAGGGAAACAGCCCAGACCACCAGCUAAGGUCCCCAAAUAACUAUUAAGUGGAAAAGGAUGUGGGGUUGCACAGACAACUAGGAUGUUGGCUUAGAAGCAGCCACCAUUUAAAGAGUGCGUAAUAGCUCACUAGUCGAGUGACCCUGCGCCGAAAAUGUACCGGGGCUAAAUAGUUUACCGAAGCUGUGGAACACACCAAUAGGUGUGUUGGUAGGAGAGCGUUCUAAGGGCGUUGAAGGUAGAUCGUGAGGACUGCUGGAGCGCUUAGAAGUGAGAAUGCCGGUAUGAGUAGCGAAAGACAGGUGAGAAUCCUGUCCACCGUAUGACUAAGGUUUCCUGGGGAAGGCUCGUCCGCCCAGGGUUAGUCGGGACCUAAGCCGAGGCCGAUAGGCGUAGGCGAUGGACAACAGGUUGAUAUUCCUGUACCAGUUGUUUUUGUUUGAGCAAUGGAGGGACGCAGGAGGCUAAGGAAUCAGACGAUUGGAAAUGUCUGUCCAAGCAAUAAGUCUUGAUGUGAGUCAAAUGCUUACGUCUUUAAGGACAAGUUGUGAUGGGGAGGGAAAUAAUAGUACCGAAGUUCCUGAUGUCACACUGCCGAGAAAAGCUUCUAGUGAGAAAACAAUGGCCCGUACCGCAAACCGACACAGGUAGUCGAGGAGAGAAUCCUAAGGUGAGCGAGAGAACUCUCGUUAAGGAACUCGGCAAAAUGACCCCGUAACUUCGGGAGAAGGGGUGCUGAUCUAACGAUCAGCCGCAGUGAAUAGGCCCAAGCGACUGUUUAUCAAAAACACAGGUCUCUGCAAAAUCGAAAGAUGACGUAUAGGGGCUGACGCCUGCCCGGUGCUGGAAGGUUAAGAGGAGUGCUUAGCGUAAGCGAAGGUACGAAUUGAAGCCCCAGUAAACGGCGGCCGUAACUAUAACGGUCCUAAGGUAGCGAAAUUCCUUGUCGGGUAAGUUCCGACCCGCACGAAAGGCGUAACGAUUUGGGCACUGUCUCAACGAGAGACUCGGUGAAAUUUUAGUACCUGUGAAGAUGCAGGUUACCCGCGACAGGACGGAAAGACCCCAUGGAGCUUUACUGCAGUUUGAUAUUGAGUGUUUGUACCACAUGUACAGGAUAGGUAGGAGCCGUAGAAGUCGGGACGCUAGUUUCGACAGAGGCGCUGGUGGGAUACUACCCUUGUGUUAUGACCACUCUAACCCGCACCACUGAUCGUGGUGGGAGACAGUGUCAGAUGGGCAGUUUGACUGGGGCGGUCGCCUCCUAAAGAGUAACGGAGGCGCCCAAAGGUUCCCUCAGAAUGGUUGGAAAUCAUUCGCAGAGUGUAAAGGCACAAGGGAGCUUGACUGCGAGACCUACAAGUCGAGCAGGGACGAAAGUCGGGCUUAGUGAUCCGGUGGUUCCGCAUGGAAGGGCCAUCGCUCAACGGAUAAAAGCUACCCUGGGGAUAACAGGCUUAUCUCCCCCAAGAGUCCACAUCGACGGGGAGGUUUGGCACCUCGAUGUCGGCUCGUCGCAUCCUGGGGCUGUAGUCGGUCCCAAGGGUUGGGCUGUUCGCCCAUUAAAGCGGCACGCGAGCUGGGUUCAGAACGUCGUGAGACAGUUCGGUCCCUAUCCGUCGCGGGCGUUGGAAAUUUGAGAGGAGCUGUCCUUAGUACGAGAGGACCGGGAUGGACUUACCGCUGGUGUACCAGUUGUUCUGCCAAGGGCAUUGCUGGGUAGCUAUGUAGGGAAGGGAUAAACGCUGAAAGCAUCUAAGUGUGAAGCCCACCUCAAGAUGAGAUUUCCCAUUUCU
This 2795-nucleotide ribosomal RNA is filed under the name human gut metagenome. Its description in RNAcentral is "bacterial LSU rRNA". It matches the Rfam family "Bacterial large subunit ribosomal RNA". The record is from RNAcentral.